RNAcentral lists this ribosomal RNA (497 nucleotides) under uncultured bacterium. Its description in RNAcentral is "partial 16S ribosomal RNA". It matches the Rfam family "Bacterial small subunit ribosomal RNA", at positions 28 to 507 of the family's 1533-position model. The record is from RNAcentral.
GAUGAACGCUGGCGGCGUGCCUAAUACAUGCAAGUCGAGCGAACGGACGAGAAGCUUGCUUCUCUGAUGUUAGCGGCGGACGGGUGAGUAACACGUGGAUAGCCUACCUAUAAGACUGGGAUAACUUCGGGAAACCGGAGCUAAUACCGGAUAAUAUUUUGAACCGCAUGGUUCAAAAGUGAAAGACGGUCUUGCUGUCACUUAUAGAUGGAUCCGCGCUGCAUUAGCUAGUUGGUAAGGUAACGGCUUACCAAGGCAACGAUGCAUAGCCGACCUGAGAGGGUGAUCAGCCACACUGGAACUGAGACACGGUCCAGACUCCUACGGGAGGCAGCAGUAGGGAAUCUUCCGCAAUGGGCGAAAGCCUGACGGAGCAACGCCGCGUGAGUGAUGAAGGUCUUCGGAUCGUAAAACUCUGUUAUUAGGGAAGAACAUAUGUGUAAGUAACUGUGCACAUCUUGACGGUACCUAAUCAGAAAGCCACGGCUAACUACGUG